AGAACAGGAAGAGGUGAGUCAGCUGGAAACUGAAGGCUGAGGCAGGACUGACUUCAGAUCAAAAGAUGAAUGAUUUGGAGGAAGAGGAGGACGGAGCAGAGUCUGUAGUAUCAGGCUGUCAGUCUACGAAGAGUGACCGGUCCAGAAGAAAACCUCCAGACUUUAGUAAAGAAUCUGGACCCUCAGACACAAAACUGACUUCAGAUCAGAAGAUGAGUGAUUUGGAGGAAGAGGAGGACAGAGC
Etheostoma spectabile (orangethroat darter) is the source of this 244-nucleotide long non-coding RNA. RefSeq lists it as uncharacterized. The transcript has 3 exons. Lineage: Eukaryota; Metazoa; Chordata; Actinopteri; Perciformes; Percidae. The record is from RefSeq and is a predicted model, not a curated record.